CCAUCCAAAUCCAUUAAAAAAAGAAAAAAAAGAAAAAAGAAAAAUCACAUUACACUGAGAGAGAGAGCAGCGAGACAGUAGGGAACUUCAACAAAUAAAGAAAAGAAUAUCCGAAAAUUCGAAGAAGAAGAAGCAACUGCCUUAACCAUGGACUUAUGUUAUCCUUUUUCUUGAGGUCGAAUCAUGUUUUGCUAAUACAGCAAGCCUUUGAAAGGAAAAUCAGCCGACAGAAAGGGGAAGAAAGGCAGAAUUUGUCCUGUUCCAUACUUCUGGUUCAGCUCAAGAAUUGAUUAUUAGAAGUCUUUGAGACCCGCUUUUGUUCAUGGAGGGGCUUGAGACCUGUGUUGAAAGUGCUUAGCUUGAGGGGCCAUCCACGCGCGUAUGACAAGAUUAUACAUUUCAAUCAGAGGGUACAUUUUUGGUGAGAUUUCUUAUCAUAUUGUGAUGAGAAAACUUGUUUUCUGUGUAAUUACUUUCUAAUUCAAGCAAGUAAACUUGUUUUCUGUGUAAUUAUUUCCUAAUCAGCACCUACAUUUGGGCCGUAAUACCUCCAUGUAGAAACAAAACAGUUUGAAAUGGAUCUUAUUUAGCAUGGGCCUGCUACUUGUAAUAAAUAAAUGCAGUUCAGAUUAACAGAUAGAGAGAAUUAAAUGAUGAAUUGUACGUUCAUUUUUCUUAAGAAAAUUUGGCUUUCUGAAGCAUGUUUGCUAAUAUACAAUUUAGUUAACAAUUUGUGGAGCGUAGUCAUAAUAUGUACUUAUUCCUUCACCAUGUUUGCUUUGGCUAUUUUCUUAAUACACAUACAGAUGCCACUCAAAAGAAAGUUGAAGCAUGUGUUAACCAUAAGAUCUGCUGCUCCUCCAAACUCUGGCAAUGGGAGCCCAUCUUCUCGUGGACAAGGAGAGCACUCUGAUCAAUUACACAUUUUUGUGUCAACACCUUCUACAACUCAAUCAGGUAUAAACACGACAACUCAAUCUAUUGUAGAUCCUACUACUGUUGCGAGUACUACUGAGCAAGAUGCAUCCAAUAAUAUGCAUUUAAUAAUUUUGAAUAUACUGUAGAUUGAUUCAUCAAAAUUAAUUUUCUUUAAAUAUCUUUUAACUCUUUAUUAAGAAAAACGUGGAAUUAGUCGUGGGUUGACAGAAUAAUGGAUGCAAAUAAGAAAAAACUUGUACAAGCCAGGGAGGGACACAUUUAGUGAAACAUCUUGUCCAUUUGCCAAUGAGAUUUGCAUCAUCAUGUAAAACAUUGUUUCGCAGUGCUUAACAGGUUGGUAUGUAGCAACCCAUGAUAGGGAAGUAGCCUACGACCGACUUAGAUGCGAGCUGUAUUGGUUCAGAUGAAUUUGGAUGAUGCGCGUUUUUAGGAUUUGAUAAAAUGCUCCCAACUUGGCCAAUGGAAGAGAAACAACAGAAUUAUUGGAAGGCACUUUUACAGAUUCAUCUUCAUCGCUCUAACAAUAUUAUUUAGGACGUUUUGAAGGAGAACACAACAACUACGUUGUGGUUGACGCUGGAGCAAUUGUGCAUGGCUAAAAGUCUAACGAGCAAUUUGCAUCUAAAGCAGAGGUUGCUUUCUCAUUUCAUGGCAGAUGACAGAUCUUUGGAAGAUCAUUUAGCUGUGUUCAAGGAGAUCGUCGUUGAUUUAGAUACAUUAGACGUAAAAUAUGAUGAAAAAGAUUUGUCCUUAAUCUUGUUGUAUUCUCUGCCCCCAUCGUUCAAGGGGCAUAAUUUUGUAUAGUCAUGAUGAUCUCCUCAUAGAAGUCGUAUAUGAUGUCCUGGUCUCAAAGGAAAAGAUGAAACAUCUAGUUGGAUUUGAGUCCAAAGUUGAAGAAGGUCUUGUGAUUUAUUGUGAUCGACGAAGGGAUAAGUCAAGGCCGAGUUUCAGCAAUCAUGUUUGUUAUUAUUGCAAGAAGAAAUGACACAUUAAGAAAGAUUGCAAAAAAUUAUAAAAUAAAGGUACUUCAAUUGCAAAUCAUAGGAAGUAAUCAGACACUUUAAACGAGACCUACAUAGUUGAGGACAAUUUGAGUGAUAGAAAUGUCUUGAUGAUUUCUGAUGUAGAAUCAAUAAGAGUGGAUUUUAGACUCAGCUUGUACAUUCCUUAAUUGGAAUUGAAACAUAUGAAAUGGUGAUGCAAGGUGUCUUUGUCAUGGGUAAGAGCGAACUUUGUUGAGUAGCUGGUAUCGGUAGAGUCAUAUUUAAGUUGGUAGAUGGAACAUGUAGAACACCCGAUCAUGUUCGACAUAUUAUAGAUUUGAAGAAGAAUCUCAUUUCAUUGAGUACUCUUGAUUCGAAAUGGUACACGUUCUCUGGGGCAGGUGGAGUCUUGAGGGUCCGGAAGGGUGUUCAUGUUGUAUUGGAUGGGUAGAAGAGAUCCCAAUUAUACAUCUUGUAAGGUCAAGUAGAAUUAGUAAAGAAAAUUCGUCACAGGUUUAGUACCAUGGUGGAGAUUUUGUUUGGUACUGUACCUUUAGAAUUUGAUUCUGGGUCCAUAUUGAACAAUACUACUGAAUCAAGUUUAGAGGAUCUGAGUAACUUCACUUUGCUACCAUUGUCCAUGGUUUCAUCGUAUUCAACCGUUAGAGAUAGACCUAUUGGAGAUAAGUACGAGGAUGCUGAUUUAGUUGCGCUUUUGGCAUUUUUGAAGGUGUUGAGACUAGGAAGGGGCCUUCGAUGAAAGUAUUGAGAGUUGAUUCUGUUACAGGAUGUGUUUCGACCAUGUUUGGUAAAUCUUAAAUUCCUUGUAGAAAUUUUGGGAACCCGGUGUUUGGGUUCUGGUAUUUUUUGUGGAAACUGUGAAGAGGGAGAGUAAUUUUUCGUAAGGUGGAUAAGUUUUAUUCUAGUUGAAGAGUUCAGUCCAUUUCCCUGCAAUCGGACUUAUUUUUCUAGAUUGGAGCUUUGUUCGUUGCAUCGAAAUUCAUAUCAAAGUGGAGAUUUUUAGACUUUGGGUGUAACUCGAAUUCUUUGAUGAAGAUAAUUGAGAGUUCUAAUUAAAGUCUACAUUAAAAAGAAUUCUAUUUGGAAUGCUUUUGGAAUCAUAUUCGAAAUCUAUUGGCAAAUUCUAGUUGAAAUUCUAUUUGAAAGCUUUAUUAGGAGUUGCAAUUUGUAUUGGAUUUAAAGAUAUCAAGAUAAGGAAACGUUUGUACAUUCUAUUUCA
RNA transcript from Olea europaea var. sylvestris, 3162 nucleotides. RefSeq lists it as uncharacterized. The record is from RefSeq and is a predicted model, not a curated record. The transcript is spliced from 4 exons. Lineage: Eukaryota; Viridiplantae; Streptophyta; Magnoliopsida; Lamiales; Oleaceae.